Molecule: transfer RNA, 44 nt
Filed under: Paralaudakia lehmanni (Turkestan rock agama)
Lineage: Eukaryota; Metazoa; Chordata; Lepidosauria; Squamata; Agamidae
Description: partial tRNA-Tyr
Source: RNAcentral
GCGGUGGCUUGUAAUUCCACUUAUGGAGUCGUCUCCUCUUUCCA